Molecule: ribosomal RNA, 253 nt
Filed under: uncultured bacterium
Lineage: Bacteria
Description: partial 16S ribosomal RNA
Rfam family: Bacterial small subunit ribosomal RNA
Source: RNAcentral
UACGUAGGGUGCGAGCGUUGCUCGGAUUGACUGGGCGUAAAGGGCGCGUAGGCGGAUAGUACAGUCAGGCGUGAAAUUCCUGGGCUCAACCUGGGGGCUGCGUUUGAUACGUAUUGUCUGGAGUUCGGAAGAGGGUCGUGGAAUUCCCAGUGUAGAGGUGAAAUGCGCAGAUAUCAGGAGGAACACCAAUGGCGAAGGCAGCUCGCUGGGACGGUACUGACGCUGAGACGCGAAAGCGUGGGGAGCAAACAGG